This 1046-nucleotide long non-coding RNA is filed under the name Equus asinus (donkey). Its description in RNAcentral is "lncRNA (ENSEASG00005025301.1)". The record is from RNAcentral. Lineage: Eukaryota; Metazoa; Chordata; Mammalia; Perissodactyla; Equidae.
UGAUCAGACCAAAUCUUCAGAACUCAUUUCUAGAAACUACACAGUCACCAGCUCAUCUCAUCACAUCUACUCUGCUUCCCUGAGGUGGACCCUGAAUGGUAAUUCAGGGCCAGCAGGGGCGAGAACAGACCCUGAAGGGGUCUACCUGGUGCCUCCCUGUCUUCCUCCAUUCUCCCAUUUAUCCAGCACAGCAGCACCGGCUUCUGUCAGCCCAGAAAGACAUAGUCACCCCAACUGCACAGAGCUCUUCUGGGGUUUCUAAGGAGCAGAAGGGCUACUAAAGACUGAGAAAAACCGUCUUCCCGGAGUCAGCUCAAGAGAUUGAGGCGUGAGGAAGGUGCUGCUGUUGUUUAACAUUUACUGGAAGCUCACGAAGCUCAAAUCUACAUGAGGACAAAACUAUGGUCUGAUCUUUAGCCUCAGAGGCCCUGGGAUGAGUCUUCAUGAAAAGCUACAGCGCCGACUUCCCACAGAAGCAGAGCGACAGUUAAGGAACAUCACACCACCAGUGAUCAGCGGGUGUGAUCGCACUGAGCAAGCAGAGCUUUUCAGCAAGAUGGAGAGGCGCCCCUGUUCUCUGCUCUGGGCCCCAGAAGCACCGAUUCAGUCCCAUUUGAUGCAGCUAUUAUACUGUAACCAUCUUGACUUGACUGUUUGUUGAUUCUACAAAUAUUUGCCGAACGCGGGCUACUGUGUAAAGGCACAAAUCAGGCACUGAAUAACUGCUGGUAGAAUGAACAAACGGAACCUCACUCAGCCUGUGAGAAUGCAGUGUAUGUGUAUGCGUAGGGGGCAUAAGUGUAGGAUUAAAAAAAAAAGGUGUUGCUUGAGCUAAAUUUUGAAAUAUGAGUGAGAGUUACCCCAGUGGAUAAGAAAAUAAAAAGGGUAUCCAGGCAGAGGUAAAAGCACAUGCCAAGGCAUGGAGCCUUUUGGGGACUCCGUCGUGGCUUAGGGAGUAUGAAGCCAGCCGGGUGCUGGGUAGAAACAGGCAGGGAAACCUGUUUUCACAUAAGAACCAGCCCAAGGAAUCAGUGUGAGAUGGAUGC